This 85-nucleotide transfer RNA is filed under the name Felis catus (domestic cat). It matches the Rfam family "tRNA". Rfam says of the family: Transfer RNA (tRNA) molecules are approximately 80 nucleotides in length. Their secondary structure includes four short double-helical elements and three loops (D, anti-codon, and T loops). Further hydrogen bonds mediate the characteristic L-shaped molecular structure. tRNAs have two regions of fundamental functional importance: the anti-codon, which is responsible for specific mRNA codon recognition, and the 3' end, to which the tRNAs corresponding amino acid is attached (by aminoacyl-tRNA synthetases). tRNAs cope with the degeneracy of the genetic code in two manners: having more than one tRNA (with a specific anti-codon) for a particular amino acid; and 'wobble' base-pairing, i.e. permitting non-standard base-pairing at the 3rd anti-codon position. Lineage: Eukaryota; Metazoa; Chordata; Mammalia; Carnivora; Felidae. RNAcentral also lists the same sequence under 2 other names. The record is from Rfam by way of RNAcentral.
GCCUGGGUGGCUCAGUCGGUUGAGCGUCCGACUUCGGCUCGGGUCACGAUCUCGCGGUCCGUGGGUUCGAGCCCCGCGUCGGGCU